Molecule: long non-coding RNA, 2166 nt
Organism: Sitodiplosis mosellana (orange wheat blossom midge)
Lineage: Eukaryota; Metazoa; Arthropoda; Insecta; Diptera; Cecidomyiidae
Exons: 2
Source: RefSeq, a predicted model, not a curated record
AUCAAUGAGAUUCGUAACAAUUCCGCGCAAACAGCGUUCACAUUCAAUGUGCGACGCAAAAUAAACACAACGAGCACACGCUAGAGUGUGUGCGGUGUGCAAAAAACGGCAGAAAAAUUCCAAACAACAGUAAACAAUUGAGUUGUGCGCUGCUGUUUGCUGCUGUUGCCGCUGAAUCCCCGAUGUGUUCAGCUGCAUAUCGUAUAAAACGAGUCACCAGUACGGCAAAUAUUUCAAUUCAACUUGAGCCAUCCGAUCGUCAAAACGUUUACACAGUGUCUCUUACAAAAUUCAGAAUUUUUUUUGCUCAUAUAAUUCCCAGUUUCAAAGUGAUUGACACGGAUUUGUGGUCGCUUUUUUCAUAUAUUUUUUUUCCGCUAACUAGUUGAAAGUGUUUGUGCAAUUUUUCCACAUUUUUCGACGUGAAUCGAUAUCCUAUUCCAUUAAAUUGCAUUCGCUGAGCAGUGAAUAGGAGAAUUAAAUUACCAACCGAAGCGAACAGCGACGGAAAGUGGAAGCAACUCCAAAGGAUAUUUUCAAGCGGAAUAAAAGACAAGAACUACCAAUUUUAAAAUGAAGAUUUGGUCUGCCGUAGCUAUUUUCAUAGUGAUUGCUUUCAACAUGCUGGCAAAUACAUUUGCUGUGCCAGUUUCGCAACCACACACGGUUGGGAAAUCGAUGAUGGAAAUCCCGCAAUGGCAUUGCUUGCGCUACUUCAAGCAUGACAUACACUUGAUGAGACGAUGCCGAAAUUAUCGUGUGCCAAUGUUACGUCGACCACUUGAAUAAACUCUUUCAUUCAAUCCAUUUUUUUUCUGAACACACAGAUUUGUUUCUUGAAUUUUGAUAUAUUUUAUAAAUAUUCUGAUUUUCUUUUCGAUUUUUUUUUUAAAACGACAGACGAUUUUGAAUUUGAUGUUGUUUAUUACAUUUUUACUCAUUUUUUAUGAGUCGACGUUUUAUUAGGUGAUUUUGUGAAUGAGCGACCCGAUAAGUAGAAGCGAUGUUUAGUUACCACCAUUUUUUUGUUUCGUUUUUCGAUUAGUUUAGUCGAUUUUUAAGUGAUAUUGUGAAUUUUUAUUUUUUUUAACCAGAAUCAACACAAUACAAAUGAUUGAUGAUGAUUUGUGUACUCGAUUCAAAGUCGUGUGAAAUAGAUAAUGAUAUUAUUAAUCCAAAUUUUAUGUAUAAAGUGAAUGUUAUGGUAAUCUAUCAUAUUUUAUGUAACUCUAAUCAAUUAAUAUUGAUCAAUUGCGAAAUAGUUCAAUUUUUAUCUAAAUACAACAUUAAUUCGAUUUAAAAGCAGUUUGAUUCUAGUUUAUCUUUUGGGCCAGUUUUAGACAAGUUUUAAAAUUUAAUGUUAAUCUACUUUGUUUUUAAUUUUAAGUGAACGUUUUGAACUGUUACAUUCAUUUUCGUUUUUUUUUUUUAAAUAAAUUUCUUUUAAGGAAAACAUAAUUUUUAAUUCUUUUUUUUAAAUUGAAAUUUCUUUGAUUUUUUCAAUUUUGUUUUCGUUUUGAAGUUUUAAUGUUUUUAAAAUUGAAAUAAAUUUUUUCUAAUAGAAGUUUUUUCGAUAAUUUUGUUUUUUCAAUGGAAAAAAUGUAAAGAUUUUUUAAAACUUUUUUUUGAAGAGACAAGAAGUUUUUGUCAAGAACUGUGAAUCAAACUGUUUUAACCCUCUAAUGCAUUAAUUUUUCCCAGGGGAGUACUGGUACUUGGUUGAUUUUUGGCCAUAGAUAAUUAAAAAAAUAUUCAUAAUCCUGGAUUCCUCAUGGUUUAGUCAGAAAAUGCGAUUGACAUAAAUCAGAGAACAAUCAAAUCCAUUGUUUAAGAGUGUCUUAAAUUUGUCUAAUUUGGAGUUCGAAUAAUUUAUUUUGUCAAAUUUAUGUUUUUGCACACUUUUUUGUUUAUAACUUUACAAUCACACUACAUAGACAAAUAUUGCCAAAGACAAAAAUGAAGAGAGAACAAUGACGAAUGAAAAUUCUCUUCAAAGCAAUGUGAUCUGAUGUACGGUUUACGUUCUACAGGCGUUCAAAUGUUGCCCGUCAUGGGUUGUAUGCAUUAGAGGGUUAAAUCGAAAUAAAAUCUGUGGUUAAUUACGCACAUUACGAAUGUUAGCCAAAUGGAAACUAAGCAAAAAUAAACCAGAAUAUUUAUUCCAAA